CACACACCUUCGUGUUUCCGUCCACAGAGCAGGACCUGGACUGCUACACCACAGUGGCACAACUCUGCCCGUUUGAGAAGCCGGUUUCCCACUGCCCGAGAGUCCGCUGUCCGGCCUCCUGUGGGGACGAGCCGGCCUACUGGGCCCCGGUGAUCGGAACCAACAUCUACACAGACAGAGGUCGUCGCCUGCAACCCUGACCCUCAUGAACACGGUGCAGCUGUGCCUCACUUUACCCAAGUGGCGUUUUCAGCUUGAAGCUUUGGUGGCCCACGUAUCCAGUUCCCACAUAUUUAAUAAUCUUUCUGGCUCUCAAGUGUGUCUGCAGAAAGAAACCAGUGACUCCCCGAGGAGCCUCCCCGGGGUCCCUGCAGCCUCGGCUGGGGCCCAUAGAGAGUCCGGCCCCACGGGGCUGCACAGUCACAAGCCCAGCAGAUGCAUGGGGGCCCGUCUCCCCCUCUCCCUCCUGCCUCUGACGCGGAUGCGUCUGCCUGGUGUUUCUGAACGGAUCCCAGACCUUCACCUAUUCCCUCAGCCGUCUAGGGCCGAGGGAUGUGGAGGCCUGGCAAUGUAGUCAUGGCCCCAGAUCCUGUGGGUGAUCUCGCUGCAUCACCUGCCUCGCUGUGG
This 627-nucleotide long non-coding RNA is filed under the name Heterocephalus glaber (naked mole-rat). RNAcentral's name for it is "lncRNA (ENSHGLG00000043588.1)". Lineage: Eukaryota; Metazoa; Chordata; Mammalia; Rodentia; Bathyergidae. The record is from RNAcentral.